UACGUAGGGGGCAAGCGUUAUCCGGAUUUACUGGGUGUAAAGGGAGCGCAGGCGGCAGGAUGAGUCUGAUGUGAAAACCCGCGGCUCAACCACGGGAUUGCAUUGGAAACUGUCCAGCUAGAGUGUCGGAGAGGUAAGCGGAAUUCCUAGUGUAGCGGUGAAAUGCGUAGAUAUUAGGAGGAACACCAGUGGCGAAGGCGGCUUACUGGACGAUGACUGACGCUGAGGCUCGAAAGCGUGGGGAGCAAACAGG
This 253-nucleotide ribosomal RNA is filed under the name uncultured bacterium. RNAcentral describes it as "partial 16S ribosomal RNA". It matches the Rfam family "Bacterial small subunit ribosomal RNA", at positions 524 to 776 of the family's 1533-position model. The record is from RNAcentral.